This is a long non-coding RNA of Tympanuchus pallidicinctus (lesser prairie-chicken), 558 nucleotides long. RefSeq lists it as uncharacterized. The record is from RefSeq and is a predicted model, not a curated record. NCBI's taxonomy places the organism in Eukaryota, Metazoa, Chordata, Aves, Galliformes, Phasianidae. The transcript has 3 exons.
CAAACAUGAGAAGAAACGUGAUUAUUGAGUGUAUUUCUGCACCCUCCAUUUAAAUUAGAGCACAAGGCAAAAGAAUAUGAGACAGAGAGCAAAGAUAGCAACUCCUUGCUAGGUGAGAGAAAGAAAAACAGCAGCCUGCAAAUGACGUCAGAGAAAGCUGAAUUUAACACGUGGUGGGAAGCAUGAAAUAUUCCUCCUAUAAUGCCCACUGUUGCACAAGGGGAAAUGCAUUGCCACAGGGUAUGCCAUCAAACACAUCCCUCCCAGGUUUUGAUGCUCUUCUAUUGUUGCCAGUUACAUCACACCAGAAAUGUUCCAGGACUUCUGACUCUUUUUUUUCUGCAAAGUUAAGUUCUAUUACAGCAAGAUUCAAAUUAAAGUAUAUAUAUUUUUUUCAUUAUUUACUGAUUGUUGGACAACUUAAUUGAAAAUGAGACUUUUUACCAAAUGAACUCAAUGUCUUUCAAAAUACGUUAACUUCUUUGGAAGUGGACAACAUUUGUUCAUAUUCAGAAGAUUCUUUCCUGGAUUUAAUCAGUAGUGGCUAUUCUGGAAUAA